GGCCUAUUGAAUAUAAUUUUAGGUCGAUCUGCCCAAUGAUUUUAAAUUUAAUGGCUGCGGUAUUUUGACUGUACAAAGGUAGCAUAAUCAAUUGUUUUUUAAUUGGAAACUGGAAUGAAAGAAUUAAUGAGAUAUAUACUGUCUCAUAUAUAAUAAAUGAAUUUAAAUUUUUAGUUAAAAUGCUUAAAUUAUUUUAUGGGACGAUAAGACCCUAUAGAAUUUUAUAUUAAUAUAAAUAGUUAUGUUUAUAAAAUUUUUGUAUUAAUAUUUAGUUGGGAGGAUUAGUAAAUUUAAAAAACUUUACUUUAAAUUUAAACUUUGAUUUAAGAAUUUUUUUGAUCUUGUAUUAUAAAAAUAAGAGUAAAUUACCUUAGGGAUAACAGCGUAAUAUCUUUUUAAAGGUCAUAUUAAUAAAGAUGAUUGCGACCUCGAUGUUGAAUUAAGAUAAAUUUUGGAUGGAGAAGUCUAAGAAUUAAGUCUGUUCGACUUUUAAAAUCUUACAUGAUUUGAGUUCAAAUCGACGUGAGU
Molecule: ribosomal RNA, 528 nt
Filed under: Bombus trifasciatus
Lineage: Eukaryota; Metazoa; Arthropoda; Insecta; Hymenoptera; Apidae
Description: partial 16S ribosomal RNA
Rfam family: Bacterial large subunit ribosomal RNA (bases 376-528)
Source: RNAcentral